This 73-nucleotide transfer RNA is filed under the name Wolbachia endosymbiont of Armadillidium vulgare. RNAcentral's name for it is "tRNA-Trp". It matches the Rfam family "tRNA". Rfam says of the family: Transfer RNA (tRNA) molecules are approximately 80 nucleotides in length. Lineage: Bacteria; Pseudomonadati; Pseudomonadota; Alphaproteobacteria; Rickettsiales; Anaplasmataceae. RNAcentral also lists the same sequence under 1 other name. The record is from RNAcentral.
AGGAGUGUAGCUCAAUUGGUAGAGCACUGGUCUCCAAAACCAGAGGUUGUAGGUUCAAUUCCUAUCGCUCCUG